RNAcentral lists this ribosomal RNA (489 nucleotides) under Triticum aestivum (bread wheat). RNAcentral's name for it is "partial small subunit ribosomal RNA". Lineage: Eukaryota; Viridiplantae; Streptophyta; Magnoliopsida; Poales; Poaceae. The record is from RNAcentral.
AUGAAUUAUGCUUAUGGAGAUGAACUUGCUAUAGUUCCUUAUGUUAAACAUGAAAUUGUUGCUAUUGCACCCACGCAUGAUAGUCCUAUUAUCUUUUUGAAUUAUUCCGACUACACUAUAUCGGAGAAGUUUGCACUUAUUAAGGAUUAUAUUGAUGGGUUGCCUUUUACCGCUACACAUGAUGAUUUUGAUAGAUAUAAUAUGCAUGUGCUUGCUGUUCCUACUUGCAAUUAUUAUGAGAGAGGAACUAUAUCUCCACCUUUCUAUGUUUCCCACACGAUAAAAUUGCAAGAAACUGCUUAUGCUAUGUAUUGGCCUUUACUUGAUGUGCAUGAAUUGUUCUUGUAUGACAUGCCGAUGCAUAGGAAGAGAGUUAGACUUCGUCAUUUCUUGAUAUAUGUUGCGUUGUGCUCACUACUAAAUGCCAAAUCAUUGCUAAUUAAAAUUGGCUUUGAUAUACCUUGGGAUCCGGGUGGAUUCACUACUUGA